This 496-nucleotide ribosomal RNA is filed under the name uncultured bacterium. RNAcentral's name for it is "partial 16S ribosomal RNA". It matches the Rfam family "Bacterial small subunit ribosomal RNA", at positions 28 to 506 of the family's 1533-position model. The record is from RNAcentral.
GACGAACGCUGGCGGCGUGCCUAAUACAUGCAAGUAGAACGCUGAAGAGAGGAGCUUGCUCUUCUUGGAUGAGUUGCGAACGGGUGAGUAACGCGUAGGUAACCUGCCUUGUAGCGGGGGAUAACUAUUGGAAACGAUAGCUAAUACCGCAUAACAAUGGAUGACACAUGUCAUUUAUUUGAAAGGGGCAAUUGCUCCACUACAAGAUGGACCUGCGUUGUAUUAGCUAGUAGGUGAGGUAAUGGCUUACCUAGGCGACGAUACAUAGCCGACCUGAGAGGGUGAUCGGCCACACUGGGACUGAGACACGGCCCAGACUCCUACAGGAGGCAGCAGUAGGGAAUCUUCGGCAAUGGGGGCAACCCUGACCGAGCAACGCCGCGUGAGUGAAGAAGGUUUUCGGAUCGUAAAGCUCUGUUGUAAGUCAAGAACGGGUGUGAGAGUGGAAAGUUCACACUGUGACGGUAGCUUACCAGAAAGGGACGGCAAACUACGU